CGAACGGGUGAGUAAUACAUAAGUAACCUGCCCUAGACAAGGGGAUAACUACUGGAAACGGUAGCUAAUACCGCAUAAUGUCGCAAGACCAAAGAGGGGGACCUUCGGGCCUCUUGCCAUCGGAUGUGCCCAGAUGAGAUUAGCUUGUUGGUGGGGUAACGGCUCACCAAGGCGACGAUCCCUAGCUGGUCUGAGAGGAUGACCAGCCACACUGGAACUGAGACACGGUCCAGACUCCUACGGGAGGCAGCAUG
RNAcentral lists this ribosomal RNA (254 nucleotides) under uncultured bacterium. Its description in RNAcentral is "partial 16S ribosomal RNA". It matches the Rfam family "Bacterial small subunit ribosomal RNA", at positions 99 to 353 of the family's 1533-position model. The record is from RNAcentral.